UGUACUGUGUAUUGUGUAGUGGCCCAUGCAUCGCUAAGAUGGCUGUCACUUGUUAGUAGCGUAAUUCCUCUUCGAAUUCGAUGCGUAUUUCGCAAAAAAAGUCGCGUUCCGUUCGUUCGCGUGGCGGUACCGCGUGCCGCUUUUCGCGAUUCGUGCAUCUCGGACAUACGGAAUCACCCUCUUGAGAUACUUGGUGCUUAAACGCCCCGCGUUUGUGGGAUGCUGUGCGCGUGAAAGGCGGAACGGUUUGCCCGUCCACACCAGCCAUGUUCAUCGAGUGUCCUUUUGUGACAACGUGAUAUAAUAUUUACGCCCGGUUGCUCGGUCGAAGAGAUUCUUGCGCGCGCAUCGACAGCAUUUUGUGGUUUUUUCAUAAACGAUACCCUUCUCGUCUCGUCUCAUCUUGUGUGGUGUCGCGUCGUCUCGUUUCGUCUCUUUUCGUCGCGUAUCGUCUCGUUUCGCCUUGCCUCGUCCCGCCUCGUCUCGUUUCGUCCCAUCUCAUCUCGUCUCUCGUCCAGUUGAAACUUCUUAUUAACAUUUACUUGCUGCCAUCAAGUAUAGAUUAAAUGAAAGGUCGGUAGCAACAGUGGUGAGGCGGGGUGGAGUUCGAAGAAGGGAUGAAUGGAACGGCAGCGCUGCGGCGCAGCGUCGGGGCUGGUCAGGCAGGCGCCAUCAGUGGUGGAGCCAUUGAACCAGCACCUAUCGCCACUCUUGUUAUAUACAAGGAUGAUGCUGGAUUCGGAAUGAAAGUUUCUGGCGAUAAUCCAGUCUACGUUCAAUCCGUAAAAGAAGGUGGUGCAGCAGCAAGAGCCGGUCUUCAUGCAGGUGACAAGAUAAUCAAGGUGAAUGGAGUCAACGUGAUGCAGUCUACACAUACGGAUGUGGUUCACCUUAUAAAAUCAUCGACACAAGUGGUAUUAACGGUGCAGCAAAAGCCAGUGGCAGCGAGCAGCGCGGUGGCAGUGACGGGGACAGCGACAGCGACAGCAACAGCAACGACAGCAUCCGGUUUGCAAGUCGGAAUAAUCGGCGCCGUAGCGAAUCAACAACAUCAACGUCCCGUCAGUUUGUCGGCGGCCGGAAACAUGUCUCCUUCACAAACAACCAUCUCUCUUCACAGAGCAUCUACCGCACCAGCAGGCAGUGCUUCGUGUAAUGCUCGAAUCACGGGUCCACAACCGGUCGAUCUUGAAAAGAAGCGACAAUUGGAAACACAAAGGGUUCACACAUUCCAGCUUAUGUUGGAGAAAGAACAAAGUUAUGUAGAUAAGUUACGGAGCGAGUUGGCGAAGGCUGGCACCGGUAAUGGAAACGCCAAUGUCGCGACUUUACAGACAGAGCUAGCGGGUGCCGAAAGAAGAGUGCGUACGUUGCAGGAACAACUCGCAGCGAUUAGCACGAGUAAUGAACAGCUUUGCUCGUUGGUAACAAACACCUCGUGCUCCUCGGGCUAUUAUCCACUCUCAAAUAACGGCAGUGGCACAGACGUGCCACCUCCCCUGCCGUCGCGUAAAUCCUUAUCCAUGCAAAGUCUCUCUCCACCGCCUUUGCCUCCCAGACCUCCACCUGUCGUAAAUACGCAAAACACAACCCAGCCGGAGCUGGAUCGACAUCUGUUGACUCAUUUAACGCCCUCGACCACAGUCAGUCACAGUAUUCCUAACUCUUUUUCUCAGGAUGCCAAUUUGAGCGCUUCAAAUGCGCUCACCAAACAUCAACGAACAAAGUCGAGUCCGGAACAAUUAGGAACUACAGCGAUAUCUCCGUCAGAAGCUAGUAGACGAUUGAUCGCAUCUGAAUCAAUGAGUGAUCUAUCACCUCCAAGACACAAACACAAUGAUAUAGAUGUCAAUGAAUUACCGCGUAUUACACCACCGGGGACACCACCGCCACCAUAUCCAGCCCCCAUUUUAGGACAAGAUAUCUUUUCGUCUACGCCAAACGAUGUACUUGCAACUGAUAUCAUUCCUGGAUUGCCAGCGUUCCAACAGCCAAUUAUGUCAAUGGAAGAAGAUGAUGUUAGUGAUCAAGAAAUUGGUCAAUUGGAAGAUCAUGGACCGUUUCAAUCUUUAUCCAGGUUGUGGGGACAUCAUGCACAUCUUGCUGUAUUUAUUAAUUACGUUUUAUCUAAUAGUGAUCCUUCUAGCCUGUUAUUUUAUUUGAUAACGGAUUUAUAUAAGGAGGGAAAUGCCAAAGAAAUGAGAAAAUGGGCAUAUGAGAUUCAUUCUAGUUUCUUAGUACCUGGUGCGCCAUUACGUCUACAUAAUGUAGAUGAAAAUGUUGCGAAUGAAAUAGACGAUGUUCUCUUGAAGGAAUCUGAUAAAGAAGAAAUUCUUAGAAAGAUAUUUUGGAAAGCACGUAAUAGAGCGAAGGAAGAAUUGAACGAACAAUUGACACAUUUCCAACAAAAAAGAACCGCAGGAUUGGCCACUAUCUUUGGUCCGACUGAUAUUUCGCUUGAUGAGAGUAUAUCCGACAAAACGCGUGAAACAAAAAUUAUUGAGACAUAUCUGCUGCCAAAGAUGGAACCUUAUUUGGAGGAUAUAGAGAAAGAACAUGUGGAUUUGCGGUUAUUCACAACAGCAGCUGGUCUAGCUACAAUAUUGAUAAAGAUAUUUCAAUUGCGACCGGUAUGGGCCGAUCGGGUACCUACUUUUGUCGCGAAAGACAAAUCCAACAUCAAAGCACGGCUGCUUACUGGAAAAACACGUAAAAUGACGAUUAGAGGACAUCAUUUUGUGGCACAUCAAUACUUUACAAUAACUUACUGCAAUCAUUGUCAACUUAUCAUUGGUGGUAUCGGUCCUCAAGGAUAUUUAUGUAGUGAUUGUUCUCUCAGCGUACAUCGACAAUGUGUUCGUGUGGUAGAGGAAAAUUGCCCGGGUCCUUUGGUGCGAAAAGAAAGAGCCAAUGAUAGAAUCAGUAAACUGAUGGAGCGCAUUCGACCUGAGAGGAAACCUCCAUCUCAUCAUCACCAUCAUUCUCAGAAUCAUAUAUUACAUUUAGACAAAAUCAAAAGAAAUGAAGAAGAUUCCGGUACACUAACGGAUGGGGAGAAUGGAGAACAACGGUCAAGCAGUAUAGCUGGAAAUACUCGCAGCAGUUGCGAAAGGUCACGAAUUUCCGGUUUAGGAGGAACUAAUGAUCAUACCGAUAACAUGGACAAUCCUUCAUCACGAGAAGAUAUUUCCGAAAUGGUCCAGCAAAAUAUUUCCAGUAAGCCAAAGACGUCAAACAUCAACAGGUCUGAAAGUUACAAGGAGCGGAUACAUCAUAAGCGGCAAUUGAGAGAAAAAAGAAAGACCAGCGAUCCGAAUCUCUCCAAAACAAAAGUCGGUUCCAGCGAUUGCGAGCCUUCUGGAAUCUUUCCCGGGAAUUCGGCCGGAAGUUCGUCAAACAGCAGCCUAUCGACUAGGAGUCUGGAUAGUCCCAGUACUAGUCUCGAGCAGGUACAUCCCACCACAUCGACGGCAAACGCUUCAACUUCGUGGGACAGUGAUGUCGAUGUCGAGGCUGAUCCGCCGGAUUGGAGCCAGGCUGUCAGCGAGGACGUUCUUGCACAACUCAGUAAUUCCGAAAAAAAGAGACAGGAUGUUAUUAACGAAUUAUUCCAUACCGAACGUUCUCACGUUCGCGCGUUGAAAGUGCUCUCGCAUGUCUUCCACAAACCUUUGUUGGAGUCCCAAGUGCUACCGUUAGAUCAGAUUCAACUGCUUUUCUCCAACUUGGACGAGAUGUUGAUGAUCCAUUCGCGCUUUAAUCAGUCGAUGAAGCGAAAGAAGAAGGAGAAUCCGUGUGUGGGUGAUGUUGGCGAACUUCUGCUAGAGAUGUUUGACGGCGAGGCCGGCGAGGCGUUUGAGAAGGCCGCAUCGACUUACUGUGCUAAGCAACAAGUUGCCCUGGAUGCUUUGCGCGAUCGUCGACGCAAGGAUUCCAAACUGAACGCCUUCCUGAAUGAAGUGGAAGCGAAUCCGUUGUGCCGCCGGCUUCAGUUGAAAGAUCACAUACUCACUGGUAUGCUGCGACUCACUAAGUACCCAUUACUAUUUGAGAACCUCGCUAAAUACACGCCGGACAAUAAUGAGAAAGAGAAGGCGGCCGUAUUACGAAGUCUUGAGCGGAGUAAAGAGAUCCUGAGUCGCGUUAACCAGGCGGUGAAGGAGGCCGAGGACUAUCAGCGACUCGUGGACAUCCAACGAGCGAUUGAUCGAUCGGCCUUUGACAAGUUCGAUCACCCGACCGUACAAGAGUUCAAGCAUCUCGACAUCACGAAGCGCAAAUUGAUUUAUGAGGGUCCGCUGCAGUGGCGACGCACCGAACCGAAUCGAUCGAUGCCGAAUCGCUCGGUGCCAAAACCGGUGGAUUUGCAUGUAGUUCUACUCGACGAUACAAUCUUCUUCUUACAUCGACAAGAUGACAAAUAUCUUCUUAAGUUCAUUAACACGACCAAUCAGGCAGGCAAUUCUGUGCUCAGUCCAAUCGUCAAGCUCUCCACUGUACUCGUACGCCAUAAUGCCGCCGAAAAGGACUCUCUUUAUUUGGUCAAUACUUCGCAGAACGGUGCGCAAAUGUACAAUCUAGUGGCGCCGUCUUCCGCGGAGCGCAAGCUCUGGUGUAAGCACAUCUCCGAGGCCGUGGAAGCUUAUAAGGCCCGCGAUCGCCAGGGCAGAAGACCAACGCCGCCCACUAUGCUUCCGGAGGAACCGACACACGCGAUGGAAGAUGGAUCGCCUUCAGAAGCAGACAGCAUAAUUGUUGAGAAAGCUCAAUCGCAGAAUAGAGAAUCGAGGGAGCUUGGACAAAACGCUGCUGCUGGUAUGCAGGAGCAUGAUGAGGAAACACCGGAAACCACUACGACUACGGAAACUCCCACGACCGAACAAACGCAACAACGGAUGCAGCAACAAUCGACUGUUGAGUCGCCAAUGACAGGUGUAGCGGAACCAUUACGAAUGGUCACAUGCACUCAGCUUUCAUUGAUAGAUCCAUUGGAAGUUCAUGUAGAAGUACCACCGGUGCAUAUUGCAGAGCCGGUCCUUACACCAAUAGAAUGUUUGAGGCGUAAGGACGAAAUAAUCAAACAGGCUCUACUUGAGAAGCACAUACUAAUGGCGGAUAUAUUAAAUAUUCCUAAAGAAGAUUUCGAGCAUGUGGCAGACAUAGCAUCUGAACCAUCUGCUGAGAAAGAACCUACUGAACUUAUACUUGCUGCUAUUAGCCAAACGGAUCAUCUAGUUGGAAUAUUAAAUUCUGCAUUAAAUGUAAGCGAAACGGAAACGAUAUUUGCAUCAUGUGGAGCAUCGGCGUUAUCGGCUCCCGCUGCAUGCGAAGCUACAGGUUGCCCUACACUACGAAACCAUUCGCAUCCUCAGCAAUCGAUCAUGGGGAUGAUGCAGCCGAUUUGUCAUUAUCUCACGUCCCAGCUUUCGCAACUGUCACAACUCCUGGAAAUCAUAAAGGAGAGAGAAGAAGAGCGGGAAAAAUUAAGAAAAGAAUUACGUAGAAGUAGAGAACGUAUACAUGCACUUGACAGCGACGUACAACGCCGUGAGUUUUCGGAAGUGAUAACUACGACAACACACACGCAAACGGCAACUGAUGACGUCAUGUAUCAAGACAGUUGUACCGAUGACAUCAUUCAUGAUUGAGAGCUUGGGAAUCUUAGACAUCAGAGACAUGAAAAAACUUCUUAUGCAGUAAAUAAUAGACGAAUCGAUUGAUCACACUUGAACAAUUUUGAAAAGGAGUUCGUCGAUGCACACGGAGAAACGAUUGGAGAUUCGAAUACAGAAAAUCUUAAACUUCAAGCGGAAACCGAAAUGAUGGGCGAUAGCGUCGGCUGAAACGCAGCGAAAAAACGUUUUGAUCAUAUCCUUCUUGAUCUUGGUGCAUUUCAUGAGCGGUGCUGGAACGUUCUCGUAUACCGAAAGAGAUCAGAAUUAUUUGUAGAAAAAAAACUGAAAAACGCGCGGACGAUACAUAUAUACGUGUGUGAGACAUAUAAUUCUUUACUGUGGAUAAUAAUACGUAUAUACAGAAGAGAGAAACAAGUCAAGUCAUUAGCUGUUUUAUUUAUCUAAUAAAAUUUUUGGGAAAAAUAUUUGAUAACAUUUGAUUAUAUGAUAUUUAUAUACUGUAACCUCUUUCAAUAGAAAUUCGAUGCAUAAUAUAGUUAUGGAAUACAAUAUAUACUACAAAUCUGUGUUCACAAAUUAUCUCUUUUUCUAAAUGAUUUUUUUUAUUAUUUUGUAGAACACCGGAAGCAUAUUUGCAUAUUUCUUAUACGAUGUGAUUUUUCAUGUCCUGCCAAAUUUGUAUAGAUUGUUCAUAUAUAAAGUUCCUUCAAGAUAAUCUUAUGGAAGAAAAUUGUUUGCUGAUGUAUGUACACAAACAAUAUAUUGGCUUAAUUCAGAUUAUUAAACACGAUUAUAUGUGGGUAAUAUAAUUAUUAUUAAUAAUACAAUAUAAUGAUUAUAUUAAAUAUCAUCAUCAUGUUUCAUGAAUCGUAUAUCUUUCUAACAAUAAAUAUCGAUUAAAUAAGAUAUAUAUAUCACUUAUGCUUUUUUUUGUUAAAUUUUUUCAAAAGUUUUUAUCAAAAUAAAACAGCUGAUAAACUUUUGUUUCAUUCCUGUAUUCACCAAAAUAUGAAUCGAUGAUUUUGCCAAAGAUUUUAUGUAAAUAGAUUUACAUAAUCUGCAUUAAUCUCUCAGAUGCAACUUUUUGUAUAUCAUUGUGUUGUUAUUUUGCGAGUCCUGUAUAUUAUUAUUACUAUUAUAUUAUAUAUUAUUAUUAUUUAAAAAGUCCAGUUUAUAUGUGAAUGCAAAAACGGAUAGCAAAGUUAUGCGCGAAAAAUCUGUAUAUUUAAUUAUUAUUAAUUAUAGCUAUUGUUAAUUUCUUUGAAUUUUUCGAGCAUGUAUCAAUGUUGCAACAUAUAAAUUUGGAUACUUAUUAGUUCAAAACAUAGAAAUUAUAUAUGAUGACUUGUGAAUAUUCGAUUCUUUAUACCAGAAAUAUAGAAAAUCUUCUUGCGAGAUAUUAGGAAAAAUCACAUAAAAAGUGCGAUUUUUUCACAUUUUUACAAAAUUGUGCAUUAAAAAGCUGCUAUUUACAAAUGGUAAUCAUAAGAUGUAUUUUAAUAAUUUGAUACACAUAAAAUAUCUUUAAAAGAAUUUUGUGAAUUGAAUAGAAAAAGUCUUGAGACGAUUACUUGUUAUAUAUAAUAAGAAAAAUUGUGAAUCAAAAUUUUGCAUAAUUUACAGCUUCCAUAAUUCGUUAAAUAUCUGAGCAAAACACUAGAAAUUGUUCUAGCAUCUAAGAUUUUAUAGAUUUUUGAGAAACUACUUUCUCUAAAAAUUUAAGAAUUUAAAAUCUAAGGAUACAAAGAUUCUAAAAUAUAAGAAUCCAAGAAUCUACAAAUAUAAACAUACAUUUUUUUUUAUAAGGUAGACAGUAGUUUACGUACUUAAAUAAAUUUGUACACAUACACGAUGCUCGUGUGAAUUGAUGCAGGAUAUCUCAAAAUGUGUCUCAGAUAUGUAUUCACUAGCAUAAUCUUCUCUCGUUUUUUAUUCAUUUUACGAUUUUAGAAAUUUUUUUUUUAAGGGAGAUUUAAAUUUUUUUAAGAUAGUUAAAUACUUCCCUCCCCCUCUUUUACCGUUUGUUAAAUAAAUGAUUUUGUAAAAUAAUUAAAGAACAAAGUUUUACGACUUAAAAAUACCUGCAAAUCCUAGAGUAUAAGGAUUGUAUAAUUUAAAUAUUUUGAAAAUGUACAAAUAUAAGGAAACUUUUAAAUUAAUUUAUUAGUUUACUUUAAUUUUAAAUGAAAAAUCUGAAAAUCUAAAGAUUUAAAAGCCAAUAAUUGGAAAAAGUUUUUUGAAUGUGAAAGAAUUAUUUUGACUCUUUCAACGAUUUAAUUAAAUUAUAAAGUAUAUUAUUUAUAUGCACAUAUUUUUUGGAUAUUCUUUCUGAAUAAAUUUAAUAUUAUAUUAAAGUAUAACAAAAAUUGUCUUUUUACAAUGUCACAUUGAUUUCUAAUUGUCUUUUGUAUGGAAAUUCUUGUGAAACAAAAUUAUUCUGAAUGCAUGAAACACUUGAAGAAUUAGUGAUAUUGUCUAAUCUGCUAAGAAAAAAAUACAUACGAAAAAUCUUGGUAUCUAGUAUCUAUGUAAACGAUUUUUUAUCAAUGAAAUCGUUUUAAUUUAAUAAAGCAUAUUUAUAACAUAUGCUAUCAACUUUUGAUGUACUCUUUAUAAAUAGAGAUAUGAAACACAUGUCCUGCGUUAUAUUCAGGUUAUUAUCAAAUAUUAAUAUAAUGAUUUUCUUAUCUUUCAAUUAAAAUAUAUUUUCAUAAUGUUAAAUCCACGAAAUUUUUAAGAAAAAAAUUAUGAUGCGAAAAAUAUAUUGGUAACCAAUUAUUUAAAAAUGAGUAAUUCUAUUUUUAGCUUUAUUUGAAAAAUACAAUAGAUCUUUUUUGUGCUGAUCUAAUAGAUUAUAACUAAUUAUGACAUCUAUUUUAUAUUACAUUUACAUAACUUUUUUGGACACGUAUAUUUAUUUUUUAAAUUGUUUCACAAAUCAAACUAAUUUUAUCAUCAAACAUCAAUAAUAUAUAAUCAACAUUUAUGUGAAUUUAACUGCUCAUUUGCGCUUUUGCUCUCAAUUCCUCGCUUUGCACAUCAUAAUCCGAGACGAUUGAUAAGACAGCUAGAUCUUGAAAUACACAUACAAAUAUGCUCGAUUUUUAAAAAGAAUACUAGAUAAAGGAAGUAGGCUGAAUGAAAUUCUCUCUGCGAAUAAAAUUUAGAUUUAUUAGCAUGACAAGAUUAAAUAUGAAAGACUUCUGUAUAUUGUUAUUUUUCUUUCUUUUUCUUGUAAACUGCGUAUAUAAAGGACUCGUCUACUUACAUAAAAUCUUUGCUAUUAUAUGGAAUACUAAUAAUUUUUAAUGCUUAGACAAAAACCAUUAGAAAUGCGAUACUAUUGUGUAUGUAUAAAAUAUUUAAUAACAUUAUUGGAUAAUAUUUUAUUAUUAUUAUUAUUAUUAUUAUUAUUAUUAUUAUUAUAGUAUUAAAACAAUUAUUGAAUUGUGUAA
RNA transcript from Cataglyphis hispanica, 9091 nucleotides. It is a transcript of the gene named rho guanine nucleotide exchange factor 11, with no coding region annotated. The record is from RefSeq and is a predicted model, not a curated record. The transcript has 28 exons. Lineage: Eukaryota; Metazoa; Arthropoda; Insecta; Hymenoptera; Formicidae.